ACAUGGUUCUAUAUAAGACCCGUACGGCGCACUACCACUGCGCUUACAGCGGCACGGAUGGACCCCUGUUCGAGGACACUGACGAGUGACGGACCCACACAAGGACACAGCAUGCAGGCGAAAGGACCAAAGCCGUAGAAAAUUUCCUGCGUCCACUCUGGCUCAACGAGAUCCUCAAAGUUGACAUCGACAACCUCCUCUGCACCAUCUGCUGCACCGCUUUGGUGACAUGGAACGACAUGUUCAAACACCUCACCGAGAAACAUGGCCUGGUCUUCGACGAGGCAUACAAUAGAGUCAUACCUUACAUACUGAAACCGGACCUCCUCUGUGCCCUAUGUAAGGCUAACUUCCCGAAUUACCACCAUCUGGACUCACAUAUGAAUGCCCAUUAUAAUAACUACAUGUGCUCCGAGUGUGGUGACACUUUCCUCGCUUCAUCCCGCUUGAAGAAACAUCUUAAAAUCCAUGACACGGGGAGAUUUAUAUGUGAUGAAUGCGGGAAAGUGUUCAGUUUAGAUAAAUACAGGAAAAAACAUGUAGAAUUAGUACAUAAGCAGGAACAGAAAAUACAAUGUCUAUAUUGUCCGGAGAAAUUCCUAAACACUUAUCCUAGACAUUUACAUGUUUUAGAACACCAUAGAGAGAAAGUUAAAACGAUAACCUGCGAGUUGUGUGGAAAGACUUUCGAUUGGCGACCAUACUUUCUAGCUCAUGUCCGAAGGAAACAUAAUAACGAAAAAAAUUACAUUUGCAAAUAUUGCGAUAGAAGAUUUUUCAUGAAAGUUGAGUGUAAGCGACAUGAAAUGGCGGCACAUUUGAAAGUGAAGACCAAGUGUAGGGUGGUGGCCCAAUUGCCUCAAAAGCCGGGGAAAUAUGCUUGUAGUUUUUGCGGUAAGCAGUAUUUAAAUAAGAAUUGUUUGAUAACGCAUUUCAACACGCAUGAGGUGGUGUUGGAUGCUGACCAGUUAAACGCCAUUACUGAGAGCUGUGCGCUUAGUCAAAAUGGGCUUAAUACUUCAAUUGACUCUUAAGAAUCCUACUAAAAUGAUUGGUAACACCAGGCUCCUAUUUCACCACGGUGACAGGUGCGACAAUUCGACUUAUCUCACUGUUGCUGACGUCACAGGCAUCCAUGUGCUACGGUUACCGUUUACCAUCGGACGGGCCGUAUUCCUGUUUGUCACCAUCAUUGUAUUAUUAAAAAAAAAACUUUUUUAUAUCGGCAAAAAACAGGUAUUUCUCUUGCGAUGUUUAUGAU
Cydia splendana is the source of this 1261-nucleotide RNA transcript. It is a transcript of the gene named gastrula zinc finger protein XlCGF57.1-like, with no coding region annotated. NCBI's taxonomy places the organism in Eukaryota, Metazoa, Arthropoda, Insecta, Lepidoptera, Tortricidae. The transcript has 2 exons. The record is from RefSeq and is a predicted model, not a curated record.